This 1086-nucleotide ribosomal RNA is filed under the name Salmonella enterica. RNAcentral describes it as "partial 23S ribosomal RNA". It matches the Rfam family "Bacterial large subunit ribosomal RNA", at positions 101 to 1230 of the family's 2925-position model. The record is from RNAcentral. Lineage: Bacteria; Pseudomonadati; Pseudomonadota; Gammaproteobacteria; Enterobacterales; Enterobacteriaceae. RNAcentral also lists the same sequence under 1 other name.
UAACCGGCGAUACCCGAAUGGGGAAACCCAGUGUGACUCGUCACACUAUCAUUAACUGAAUCCAUAGGUUAAUGAGGCGAACCGGGGGAACUGAAACAUCUAAGUACCCCGAGGAAAAGAAAUCAACCGAGAUUCCCCCAGUAGCGGCGAGCGAACGGGGAGGAGCCCAGAGCCUGAAUCAGCAUGUGUGUUAGUGGAAGCGUCUGGAAAGGCGCGCGAUACAGGGUGACAGCCCCGUACACAAAAGCGCAUGUGCUGUGAGCUCGAUGAGUAGGGCGGGACACGUGGUAUCCUGUCUGAAUAUGGGGGGACCAUCCUCCAAGGCUAAAUACUCCUGACUGACCGAUAGUGAACCAGUACCGUGAGGGAAAGGCGAAAAGAACCCCGGCGAGGGGAGUGAAAAAGAACCUGAAACCGUGUACGUACAAGCAGUGGGAGCACCCUUUGGGUGUGACUGCGUACCUUUUGUAUAAUGGGUCAGCGACUUAUAUUCUGUAGCAAGGUUAACCGAAUAGGGGAGCCGGAGGGAAACCGAGUCUUAACCGGGCGUUAAGUUGCAGGGUAUAGACCCGAAACCCGGUGAUCUAGCCAUGGGCAGGUUGAAGGUUGGGUAACACUAACUGGAGGACCGAACCGACUAAUGUUGAAAAAUUAGCGGAUGACCUGUGGCUGGGGGUGAAAGGCCAAUCAAACCGGGAGAUAGCUGGUUCUCCCCGAAAGCUAUUUAGGUAGCGCCUCGUGAAUUCAUCUCCGGGGGUAGAGCACUGUUUCGGCUAGGGGGCCAUCCCGGCUUACCAACCCGAUGCAAACUGCGAAUACCGGAGAAUGUUAUCACGGGAGACACACGGCGGGUGCUAACGUCCGUCGUGAAGAGGGAAACAACCCAGACCGCCAGCUAAGGUCCCAAAGUCAUGGUUAAGUGGGAAACGAUGUGGGAAGGCCCAGACAGCCAGGAUGUUGGCUUAGAAGCAGCCAUCAUUUAAAGAAAGCGUAAUAGCUCACUGGUCGAGUCGGCCUGCGCGGAAGAUGUAACGGGGCUAAACCAUGCACCGAAGCUGCGGCAGCGACACUGUGUGUUGUUGGGUA